AUUGAACGCUGGCGGUAGGCCUAACACAUGCAAGUCGAGCGGCAGCAGGGUACUUGCUCCUGGUUACAGCGGCGGACGGGCGGGUAAGGCCGAGGAAUAUCCGUGGCUGUGGUGGAGAGGGUCAGGACAUGGGGGCACAUACGGCAUAAGCCCAGACGACCUAAGGGGGGGAGCUGCGGAUCUUACGAUAUCGGACGAGUCAAGGACGCGAUGUCGGAUUAGCGAGGUGGAGGGGUAAAGGCCCACCAAGGCGACGAUCCGUAGCUGGUCUGAGAGGAUGAUCAGUCACACUGGAACUGAGACACGGUCCAGACUCCUACGGGAGGCAGCAGUGGGGAAUAUUGGACAAUGGGCGAAAGCCUGAUCCAGCCAUGCCGCGUGUGUGAAGAAGGUCUUCGGAUUGUAAAGCCCUUUUAUUUGGGAAGAAAAGCAGUAAGUUAAUACCUUGCUGUUUUGACGUUACCAACAGAAUAAGCACCGGCUAACUUCGUG
This 492-nucleotide ribosomal RNA is filed under the name uncultured bacterium. RNAcentral describes it as "partial 16S ribosomal RNA". It matches the Rfam family "Bacterial small subunit ribosomal RNA", at positions 30 to 507 of the family's 1533-position model. The record is from RNAcentral.